GGAGAGGUGCCGGAGCGGUUGAACGGGACGGAUUCGAAAUCCGUUGACCCUUUCGGGGGUCCCAGGGUUCGAAUCCCUGCCUCUCCGCCA
Molecule: transfer RNA, 90 nt
Filed under: Acidithiobacillales bacterium SG8_45
Lineage: Bacteria; Pseudomonadati; Pseudomonadota; Acidithiobacillia; Acidithiobacillales
Also listed under: 2 other names
Description: tRNA-Ser
Rfam family: tRNA
About the family: Transfer RNA (tRNA) molecules are approximately 80 nucleotides in length. Their secondary structure includes four short double-helical elements and three loops (D, anti-codon, and T loops). Further hydrogen bonds mediate the characteristic L-shaped molecular structure. tRNAs have two regions of fundamental functional importance: the anti-codon, which is responsible for specific mRNA codon recognition, and the 3' end, to which the tRNAs corresponding amino acid is attached (by aminoacyl-tRNA synthetases). tRNAs cope with the degeneracy of the genetic code in two manners: having more than one tRNA (with a specific anti-codon) for a particular amino acid; and 'wobble' base-pairing, i.e. permitting non-standard base-pairing at the 3rd anti-codon position.
Source: RNAcentral